RNAcentral lists this ribosomal RNA (27 nucleotides) under Arrhenatherum elatius. RNAcentral describes it as "partial 26S ribosomal RNA". The record is from RNAcentral. Lineage: Eukaryota; Viridiplantae; Streptophyta; Magnoliopsida; Poales; Poaceae.
GCGACCCCAGGUCAGGCGGACUACCCG